GCAUGUAUGGAGAUCGUGUUUUAGGAACGUGAGUUUCUCGACGGACGCGAGAUAACUGGUCAGCCUGCGCGGCUGUAGGUGAAGUGCAGAACUGUAUUUUAAUCGAUAAAUACAACAGCUCCCAAAGGGCGAUUCAUUUUCUCCCCUACAGUUCGUUCCAAAUGUCUCUCCCGGAGAGGGAAGCGGGACCCCUGCGCACCUCCCUGGGCACACGCACCGGGACCGGCCGAGCUACACCGGGAGCACCGACAGAGAGCUGCCGUCCCUCCGCGCUCGGGUUUGGGCUUGGUUAGGAAAAAUGUUAUAACACGCAAAGUGCGCGGGGCGGGGAAUAGCACUUGGCAGCGAUUCACGUCCCAGAAAGGUGAAAGUGGGGCUGCGGGCCGGGUGCGGACCGCAGCCACCGGGCUGCGCGUGGAACUCAGUGGAGCCGCGCUGCUCGGCAGCCCUUGCCGUGAGAGGAAGCGCAGAGCUGCGCUCGGCUACGGCCCCGGUCUCCUGCUUCGGGUUGUGUCCGCGGCACGACUCCGCCGCGCCCCGAGGACCGCGCAGGUGGGCCGAAGCUCGGCUCCGUGUCUGCCCGCAGCCGGGAGAACAGGGCCGGCCCGACCCGCUGCCGGGACGAGGGCUGCUUCAGAAAAUCGUUUGAAGCAUCCUCUGUCCUGUUCGCCUGUUUCUGUGACUGCAGGUAGAACGACGCCGUUAACGAUUCGUUGUGACACGGCACCUUUUCAGUUCAGGCUUCUAUACCGCCGCUCGCGGAGGCUUCAUCUGAAGGCAGAACAGGGGAAGGAAAAUAUACGGUCCUCGGGGAUGCGUGCGAAAUAAGUGGGAGCCCUGCGGGGAGGAGCGCAGGGGCACCACGGACCCUGCCCUGCCCUGCCCCGCUCCGUCCCUGCCCCGGGGCUUUUGGCGGCUCGGCGGCCGUUGCAGGAGGGAAAAGGAGCGACUCGACAGCCCCGCUCCGUGCCACACGGACGGCAGAACCGAGCGGCAGGAGCGCUNNNNNNNNNNNNNNNNNNNNNNNNNNNNN
RNAcentral lists this long non-coding RNA (1033 nucleotides) under Chrysolophus pictus (golden pheasant). Its description in RNAcentral is "lncRNA (ENSCPIG00010010568.1)". The record is from RNAcentral. Lineage: Eukaryota; Metazoa; Chordata; Aves; Galliformes; Phasianidae.